RNAcentral lists this ribosomal RNA (487 nucleotides) under uncultured bacterium. RNAcentral describes it as "SSU rRNA". It matches the Rfam family "Bacterial small subunit ribosomal RNA", at positions 26 to 521 of the family's 1533-position model. The record is from RNAcentral.
AGGACGAACGCUGGCGGCGUGCUUAACACAUGCAAGUCGAACGAGGUCCAACCAGUGGCAACACUGGGGAAGACCUAGUGGCGAACGGGUGAGUAACACGUGAGCAACCUGCCCCGAAGACUGGGAUAACAGUGGGAAACCGCUGCUAAUACCGGAUACCCCCACCAGAUCACAUGGUCAGGUGGGGAAAUGGACUCCGCUUCGGGAGGGGCUCGCGGCCUAUCAGCUUGUUGGUGGGGUAACGGCCUACCAAGGCAACGACGGGUAGCUGGUCUGAGAGGACGAUCAGCCACACUGGGACUGAGACACGGCCCAGACUCCUACGGGAGGCAGCAGUGGGGGAAUCUUGCGCAAUGGGCGAAAGCCUGACGCAGCAACGCCGCGUGAGGGAUGAAUGUCUUCGGAUUGUAAACCUCUUUCAAGCAGGGACGAUAAUGACGGUACCUGCAGAAGAAGCUCCGGCCAACUACGUGCCAGCAGCCGCGGU